GGGACAGAGUGGGGAACGUCUUGCACUACGGCAGAUGAGGGUCACGGUGGGUGGUGAGGGUCACGGUGGCUGGUUUGGGGCGAAACAGGUUAGAACCCGCAGAUUGCCGCUCGCGGCUAUAUUUAUUAUUAUUAUUUUUUGUUGUCUGCCGCUUGAGCUCAAAUUCCCGUGAGCUGGAAUGAGCCAGAAACCUGAAACUUGGCCCAAUGAUUGGAAAUGAUGUGCAUCAACUUUUAUUAAAAUAUGAGCCCAGUCGGCCACAUGGUGGCGCUGUAAUUAAGGCUUAAAAAUGACUUUUUUGGGAGGCCACGCCCCUCACACCAUAAGUCUGAUUGACUUGAAAUUUGACACACAGGUCCAGCUCAAUGUGCUCUACAAAAAAGCCUCAAGGACCAUUAAGCUCCGCCUGACUAGAUUUUUUGCUAAUUUGCAUAAUUUGAAAAACAGUAACAUGACAUAAACUUUUACAAUUUUAACUCAAUCAACACCAAACUUG
Molecule: long non-coding RNA, 496 nt
Organism: Epinephelus fuscoguttatus (brown-marbled grouper)
Lineage: Eukaryota; Metazoa; Chordata; Actinopteri; Perciformes; Serranidae
Exons: 3
Source: RefSeq, a predicted model, not a curated record